Molecule: ribosomal RNA, 450 nt
Filed under: uncultured bacterium
Lineage: Bacteria
Description: partial 16S ribosomal RNA
Rfam family: Bacterial small subunit ribosomal RNA
Source: RNAcentral
AGCGAACAUUGGCGGUAGGCUUAACACAUGCAAGUCGAGCGAGGCGUAAUAGUCGAGCGGCGAACGGGUGGGUAAUACAUGGAAAUCUACCCUGAAGUGGGGGAUAACGUCCAGAAAUGGACGCUAAUACCGCAUAAUCCAUAUUGGGAAAGCGUUGCAGCGCUUUAGGAUGAGUCCAUGGCUGAUUAGCUAGUUGGUGAGGUAAAGGCUCACCAAGGCGACGAUCAGUAGCUGGUCUGAGAGGAUGACCAGCCACGCUGGAACUGAGACACAGUCCAGACUCCUACGGGAGGCAGCAGUGGGGAAUCUUGCGCAAUGGGGGCAACCCUGACGCAGCCAUACCGCGUGAGUGAUGAAGGUCUUCGGAUUGUAAAGCUCUUUCGGCGGGGACGACGAUGACGGUACCCGCAAAAGAAGUCACGGCUAACUUCGUGCCAGCCGCCGCGGUAA